ACUCCUACGGGAGGCAGCAGUAGGGAAUCUUCCACAAUGGACGAAAGUCUGAUGGAGCAACGCCGCGUGAGUGAAGAAGGUUUUCGGAUCGUAAAACUCUGUUGUUGGAGAAGAACGUAUUUGAUAGUAACUGAUCAGGUAGUGACGGUAUCCAACCAGAAAGCCACGG
RNAcentral lists this ribosomal RNA (169 nucleotides) under uncultured bacterium. Its description in RNAcentral is "partial 16S ribosomal RNA". It matches the Rfam family "Bacterial small subunit ribosomal RNA", at positions 335 to 496 of the family's 1533-position model. The record is from RNAcentral.